GAUGAAGAACGUAGCGAAAUGCGAUAAGUAAUGUGAAUUGCAGAAUUCAGUGAAUCAUCGAAUCUUUGAACGCACAUUGCGCCCGCCAGUAUUCUGGCGGGCAUGCCUGUCCGAGCGUCAUUUCAACCCUCGAACCCCUCCGGGGGGUCGGCGUUGGGGAUCGGCCCUUUACGGGGCCGGUCCCGAAAUACAGUGGCGGUCUCGCCGCAGCCUCUCCUGCGCAGUAGUUUGCACACUCGCAUCGGGAGCGCGGCGCGUCCAAUGCCGUAAAACACCCAACUUUCUGAAAUGUUGACCUCGGAUCAGGUAGGAAUACCCGCUGAACUUAAGCAUAUCAAUAAGCGGAGGA
This 349-nucleotide unclassified non-coding RNA is filed under the name soil metagenome. Its description in RNAcentral is "partial contains 5.8S ribosomal RNA, internal transcribed spacer 2, and large subunit ribosomal RNA". The stretch from base 1 to 120 matches the Rfam family "5.8S ribosomal RNA", at positions 35 to 154 of the family's 154-position model. The record is from RNAcentral.